UUUGUGUGCGCUGUUUGUGACACAUGGAGCACAGCGUUGAAAGACAACAUGGGAGAGAAAGCUGGGGCUAACUAAAGGACCCCAAACCAUGGAAUGGUGCUGCCCAAAUUCAAGUGAAGUCUUCCCUGCUCAGUUAAACCUUUCUGGAAACAUCCCUAAAGAUGCGCCCAAGAUCAGCAGAUACGUUGGAUAUAAUUCGUCAAAGUGGUUGGGAGCUGUGAAGCCCUCAUGCAUCAGCACUGAGACACCCUGUCACAAAGCCUUCGCAGUGUGACGAACCACAGCAAAGCGGGUCUAAUGACCAGGCAAUGAGGGCUACAGCUGGGGACCAAGGAUGUGCACGGGCAGAGCUCACUCAGCUUCCUUUCUUUACAACCUUCCUGGGUCCUACCCUCCUUAACACAGUUUAGGGGAUCUUGGCCAUCAGACCCCCAUACUCCUCCAGCUCCACCCCUCUCAGUUUCUGUUUGGCUCCUUACUUCCAACCACAGCAAUUCCCCAAGCUCGGAGACUUGAAGGCUUCAGUUCCUCCACAUGUGCCACUCCUUUGUUUGCCUAGCACCUGUCUAGCACGUGCGCACCUGUCUCCUGUCCUGCGAGUCACCCGAAGACAAGAAGCUCCCAUAUCUAGCACAGCUCUUGACAUAUAAUGAGCAUUUGUAUUAUAUUAUUCCUCAGUACCCCAUUCAUACUACAAUGUUUCCCAAUGUAGUGACUCGUGUUUGUAACAGGAGGUGGCAGAAGGAGGCUCAUGAGUUCAAAACCAGCCUAUCUCAGAAACAAAAACAAAAGAGAAAAGUUAGAAUGUUUGGAUUAUUUUGUUAAAGCCUUCAGUUGAUGUAAGAAAUAUUUAUUUUUAAAUGCAUUAUAAGUUUCUUUGUUGUACUGUACAUUUUUUAAACUUGAUUAUUUGGUUU
This is a long non-coding RNA of Mus musculus (house mouse), 917 nucleotides long. RefSeq annotates it as predicted gene, 53974. The transcript is spliced from 3 exons. The record is from RefSeq and is a predicted model, not a curated record. NCBI's taxonomy places the organism in Eukaryota, Metazoa, Chordata, Mammalia, Rodentia, Muridae.